GAGGAAUAUUGGUCAAUGGGCGCAAGCCUGAACCAGCCACGUCGCGUGAAGGAAGACGGCCCUACGGGUUGUAAACUUCUUUUGUAAGGGAAUAAAGUGUAGUACGUGUACUAUUUUGCAUGUACCUUACGAAUAAGGAUCGGCUAACUCCGUGCCAGCAGCCGCGGUAAUACGGAGGAUCCGAGCGUUAUCCGGAUUUAUUGGGUUUAAAGGGUGCGCAGGCGGGAGAUUAAGUCGGCGGUGAAAUUUUGCAGCUUAACUGUAAAAGUGCCUUCGAAACUGGUUUCCUUGAGUGUAGAUGAAGUAGGCGGAAUUUGUGGUGUAGCGGUGAAAUGCAUAGAUAUCACGAGGAACUCCGAUUGCGCAGGCAGCUUACUAAACUACUACUGACGCUCAGGCACGAAGGCGUGGGGAUCAAAC
RNAcentral lists this ribosomal RNA (420 nucleotides) under uncultured bacterium. RNAcentral describes it as "bacterial SSU rRNA". It matches the Rfam family "Bacterial small subunit ribosomal RNA", at positions 356 to 773 of the family's 1533-position model. The record is from RNAcentral.